UCGAGGAUCUUCGGCAAUGUGCGCAAGCAUGACCGAGCGACGCCGCGUGUGCGACGAAGGCCUUCGGGUUGUAAAGCACUGUCGAGGGGGAGAAAAGCCGUAAAAUCGGCCUGAUCUAUCCCUGGAGGAAGCACGGGCUAAGUUCGUGCCAGCAGCCGCGGUAAGACGAACCGUGCGAACGUUGUUCGGAAUCACUGGGCUUAAAGGGUGCGUAGGCGGGCCACAAAGUCCGGGGUGAAAUCCUCCAGCUUAACUGGAGAAUGGCCUUGGAUACUGGUGGCCUCGAGGGAGGUAGGGGAGCGCGGAACUGAUGGUGGAGCGGUGAAAUGUGUUGAUAUCAUCAGGAACGCCGGUGGCGAAAGCGGCGCUCUGGACCUCAUCUGACGCUGAGGCACGAAAGCUAGGGGAGAGAACGGGAUUAGAUACCCCGGUAGUCC
Molecule: ribosomal RNA, 437 nt
Filed under: uncultured bacterium
Lineage: Bacteria
Description: bacterial SSU rRNA
Rfam family: Bacterial small subunit ribosomal RNA
Source: RNAcentral